AAAGUUGCGGCGAUCUCCACAUGACAUCAGUUCGACGCCGGCGCACAGCUGGAGCAGUGUUCCCAGUCUCAGUACUACAUAUACAGUGUGCAAGUAUCGUGAUAUCGUAGCCAUGAAGUUCAUUGUUUGCGUCUUCAUGUUCUUAGUGAUCCUGGAGGGAUUCCACUGUGCACCAAAUUAUUACUCGUCGUCGUCCAUAACGCGUACCAAUCAUUAUGAAAACAAGGGUGAAUAUAACACUCUUCUCGUUGGUCCUCUGCCGGACCUGUCUCGAUAUCAAGAUCUUAUUAUGGCAACUAUGAGUGGUGGAAACGAAGAUGAGAAGUCACCCUGUUGCUAAUCAUGAAAUGAUGUCGUAUAAGUUGUGAUCGCUAUCGGACCACUCUAUAAGAGCUCAUGUUACCCACAGGUGGACACAAUAUACCGACUAAAGCGUCAAUAUCCUGUAUAGUAAUAAUAAUAAUCUUUUUUUUUAAUUCAGGUAAUUUACACCCAUAAAUUAUACAGAAUAUGACAAUUAAAUUUCCACUUAGAUUAUACAUUAAAUUAAUUUCAACAAAUAAUAAAUAAAUAAAAUAAAAUAGUCAACGUUAAUUAAUUAAGUCCAAUAAAAUAAAAUAAAAGUUCAAUCAAUUAACAGUCAGUCAGUCAGAUAGUUCAUUAAUACAAAAUGUCAAAAUGCUUUCUGUAUAAAUAUAUAUAUAAAUGUGCUUUCCUUCUUCAUCUUACUCUCAAUCUAAGUUACUUGUAUAAUAUUUAAUUUUGUACCUACUUUGUAUGUUAAGACUUAUGUUUAUUUAUAUUGUAAAAAUAAAUUGUUUAAUAUUAUACAUAUUUAUAACAAUGAAAUAAAUGUCUGAGAAGUAUA
Molecule: long non-coding RNA, 868 nt
Organism: Spodoptera frugiperda (fall armyworm)
Lineage: Eukaryota; Metazoa; Arthropoda; Insecta; Lepidoptera; Noctuidae
Exons: 3
Source: RefSeq, a predicted model, not a curated record